CAGCAGCCACGGUAAUACGUAGGUGGCAAGCGUUGUCCGGAAUUAUUGGGCGUAAAGGGCUCGCAGGCGGUUUCUUAAGUCUGAUGUGAAAGCCCCCGGCUCAACCGGGGAGGGUUAUUGGAAACUGGGAAACUUGAGUGCAGAAGAGGAGAGUGGAAUUCCACGUGUAGCGGUGAAAUGCGUAGAGAUGUGGAGGAACACCAGUGGCGAAGGCGACUCUCUGGUCUGUAACUGACGCUGAGGAGCGAAAGCGUGGGGAGCGAACAGGAUUAGAUACCCGUGUAGUCCCUGUCUCUUAUAU
RNAcentral lists this ribosomal RNA (301 nucleotides) under uncultured bacterium. Its description in RNAcentral is "partial 16S ribosomal RNA". It matches the Rfam family "Bacterial small subunit ribosomal RNA", at positions 509 to 809 of the family's 1533-position model. The record is from RNAcentral.